This 443-nucleotide ribosomal RNA is filed under the name uncultured bacterium. RNAcentral describes it as "partial 16S ribosomal RNA". It matches the Rfam family "Bacterial small subunit ribosomal RNA", at positions 338 to 795 of the family's 1533-position model. The record is from RNAcentral.
CCUACGGGAGGCAGCAGUGGGGAAUAUUGGGCAAUGGAGGCAACUCUGACCCAGCAAUGCCGCGUGAGUGAUGAAGGUAAUUUUAUUGUAAAGCCCUUUUCUUUGGAACGAAUAAAUGACGGUACCAAAGCAAUAAGCCCCAGCUAACUACGUGCCAGCAGCCGCGGCAAUACGUAGGGGGCAAGCGGUGUUCGGAAUGGCUGCGGGUAAAGGGUUUGUAGGUGGUUUGGUAAGUUAGAUGUGUAAUACCCAGGGGUUAACUCGGGGGCUGCAUCUAAAACUGUUAGACGUGAGUACUGGAGAGGAUAGUGGAAUGCCUAGUGUAGCGGUGGAAUGCGUAGAUAUUAGGAGGAACAUCAGUGGCGAAGGCGACAAUCUGGACAGCAACUGACGCUGAGGCACGAAAGCGUGGGGAGCAAACAGGAUUAGAUACCCCUGUAGUC